RNAcentral lists this ribosomal RNA (431 nucleotides) under Bacillus safensis. RNAcentral describes it as "bacterial SSU rRNA". It matches the Rfam family "Bacterial small subunit ribosomal RNA", at positions 1041 to 1473 of the family's 1533-position model. The record is from RNAcentral. Lineage: Bacteria; Bacillati; Bacillota; Bacilli; Caryophanales; Bacillaceae.
GUGCAUGGUUGUCGUCAGCUCGUGUCGUGAGAUGUUGGGUUAAGUCCCGCAACGAGCGCAACCCUUGAUCUUAGUUGCCAGCAUUUAGUUGGGCACUCUAAGGUGACUGCCGGUGACAAACCGGAGGAAGGUGGGGAUGACGUCAAAUCAUCAUGCCCCUUAUGACCUGGGCUACACCCGUGCUCCAAUGGACAGAACAAAGGGCUGCAAGACCGCAAGGUUUAGCCAAUCCCAUAAAUCUGUUUUCAGUUCGGAUCGCAGUCUGCAACUCGACUGCGUGAAGCUGGAAUCGCUAGUAAUCGCGGAUCAGCAUGCCGCGGUGAAUACGUUCCCGGGCCUUGUACACACCGCCCGUCACACCACGAGAGUUUGCAACACCCGAAGUCGGUGAGGUAACCUUUAUGGAGCCAGCCGCCGAAGGUGGGCAGAUG